Molecule: long non-coding RNA, 240 nt
Filed under: Elaeis guineensis (African oil palm)
Lineage: Eukaryota; Viridiplantae; Streptophyta; Magnoliopsida; Arecales; Arecaceae
Description: long non-coding RNA (EGUI_LNC081526)
Source: RNAcentral
GAUACACAAACCCAUACCUAGAUAGAUCAUCGGUAAAGGUAAUGAAGUAGCUGUAACCCUCUUGGCCUACACAUCAAAUGAUCCACACACAUCAGUGUGUACUAGGGCAAGUAACUCAGUAGCCCUUUCCCCAUGUCCUACAAAGGAUAACUUGGCCAUUUUUUUUCAAAGACAAAAUUCACAAGCUGGAUACGACUCUAGGUUAAGAGAGCCAAGGAUCCCAUCUUUUUCUAGUUUGUU